GAUGUAGAGUCUAAGAUAAAAGCGGGCUAACCUAGAAGGGGUAUGGCAGUUUUUUACACCUACACCCCUUUGGGUUUUACACGGCAUCGUACCGGUACGCUAAAUCGCUUUGCAGCACGACUUUGUCGGUAGAGUGCAAGCUAGUUUCGGCG
Molecule: long non-coding RNA, 152 nt
Organism: Maniola jurtina (meadow brown)
Lineage: Eukaryota; Metazoa; Arthropoda; Insecta; Lepidoptera; Nymphalidae
Exons: 3
Source: RefSeq, a predicted model, not a curated record